RNAcentral lists this long non-coding RNA (200 nucleotides) under Elaeis guineensis (African oil palm). RNAcentral's name for it is "long non-coding RNA (EGUI_LNC029774)". The record is from RNAcentral. Lineage: Eukaryota; Viridiplantae; Streptophyta; Magnoliopsida; Arecales; Arecaceae.
GGCAGGUCUUGUAGUUCUUGAAACCGUCAAUAAAUCUACUGGCAGUAAUGUCGAUGACCUCCUUCCUAAACUCUACAGAGUCUCGAUACUUUUGAAUGCAGUGGGUCUGAACAUCAGGAGGAAUCUGAUUGAACUGGGAGGUGUGAUGGCCCCUAAGCCUUGGUGGAGACCGUGAGACUGAAGGUGCCCAAUGAGAGGAA